UUGAACUUUAUCUGUUUUAUUGAUUUACUCUAGUGAAUUUUUAUAAAAGAUACAGCAGUAGGUCAUCUAUGAGGGGUAUUCUGUGAAAAUAAGAGCAAUCAAAGAAAAUAUGAGGUAGACACUUUUUAUAUCUGCUCUUCUCAUCUGGUUUUCUUUAUGAAUAUUUUCCUUUGACCCUUUUUCAACAGAUCUGUAGCUCAGAAUUAUAAUACAUGCCUUGGAAACAAAGGAAUAGAAAAUAGAAAGAGAAUAUAUGUUAUAUAUAUAUUUAUAUAUGCAUUUUUUCUUUCUUGGAGUGACUUCCUAAUUUAUGUUUGUGGGAAGUCAUGAAAUAUAAUAAAAUCGCUGCUUAUGAACAAGUAAAACUAAAUGCAGAUUGCUACAGUGGUUUUGAAGACAGAGCAGAUGGGCCAGUCUAGCCCGGCUCCUAGAAGGGUGUUGACCUGAAUUCAGAAGCUCAUGAGGGGCCUGGACCAGCGGAGGGACAGAGGUGGCCUCUAAAGGUAGAAAGGCCACAAGAAAACGCAAGUCAAAUUUGUUGGUCUUCAUGCAGAUUUUAUUAGAAUCAAUUAGAAUUUUGUUUUCCUAAUGAGUUUGUGUCUGUUCUUUCAGUGCCAUUUUAUCAGUGUCUUUAUUCUCACUGCAGAAACCGAGCCGAGACGUAAUGCACGUGAUGGCUGCACACUUCUGUGGGAAUCCUUGUGCAGUGCGUUUUGGCCAAGACCAUGAUAUUAAUAACCCAUAGUAUUCCAGCACGAAAAUUCUUGAAAAAGUCUUUCCCAGCAUACAGUGGCACGCAGUGAAUGUUUGUGGAUGGAAUCUUGGCAGCAUUUCUGCCCUCCCCCCGCUCCUGGCCUCCACUCACACAGGGUCUGCUUGGACACUUGCAUGGCCAAGCCUCUGAGAAAGGAGAUGUCCACACUGGGAGGAAGAUGAAGUUAUAUAGAAUUCCCUAUCAUGUAUGGAUGUGAGAGCUGGACCGUAAAAAAGACUGAGUGCCAAAGUUGAUGCUUUUGAAUUGUGGUGCUGGAGAAGACUCUUAAGAGUCCCUUGGAUAGCAAGGACAUCAAGCUAGUCAAUCCUAAAGGAAAGCAUCCCUGACUCUUCAUUGGAAGGACUGAUACAGAAGCUAAAGUUCCAAUACUUUGGCCACCUGAUGCAAAGACUCAUAGGAAAGACUGAAGGCAAGAGGAGGAUGGGGCGGCAGAGGAUGAGAUGGUUGGAUGGCAUCACCAACUCAUUGGACGUGAGUUUGAGCAAACUCUGGGAGAUAGCAAAGGACAAGGAAGCCUGGUGCGCUGCAAUCUUCGGGGUGGCAAAGAGUUAGAGACACAACUUAGAGACAGAACAACAGCAAUGAGAACCUACUGUGCAGCACAGGAACUCUACUCAGUGCUCUGUGGUGACCUAAAUGGGAAGGAAGUCCAAAAGGGAGGCGAUAGGUGUAUAUGUAUGGCUGGUUCAUUUUGUUGUACAGCAGAAACUAACACAGCAUUAUAAAGCAACUACACUCCAAUAAAAAUUAAUUUAAACAAAUAAAGCACUGUAUUGUUGAAGGUAUGCUGUUGCUGCUGCUGCUGCUAAGUUGCUUCAGUCGUGUCCGACUCUGUGCGACCCCAUAGACGGCAGCCCAUGAGGCUCCUCCAUCCAUGGGAUUCUCCAGGCAAGAACACUGGAAUGGGUUGCCAUUGUCUUCUUCCGUUGAAGAACCACAGGCAAGUCUGAGAAGGGUGGACCCUUGAAAGGGAAGAGAAAAUGGAGUGAUUCACAGCAAUUCCAGAGAGCUGAAUGCUGGCCAGUGGACACAAGUAUAAGGAGACAGUUUUACUCCAGCCUAAGGAAAGUCUUCCCUGGUGGCUCAAACGGUAAAGAAUCUACCUGCAGUGCAGAAGACCUGGGUUUGAACCCUGAGUUGGGAAGAUCCUCGCUACCCACUCCAGUAUUCUUGUCUGGAGAAUCCCACGGACAGCAGAGCCUGGCAGUCAACAGUCCAAGGGGUUGAAAACAGUCGGACACAACGGAGCAACUUUCACUUACAGAUAUUUAGAAAAAAACUGUUAACUUAAAACAAUGAGUAACAUGGACAUAACAAGCGCCAUGUAGAUAGCAUCACUGACUCAAUGGACAUGAAUCUGAGCCAACUCCAGGAGACAGUGAAGACAGGGAGACCUGGUAUGCUGCAGUCCAUGGGGUCGCAGUCAGACACGACGGAACGUCUGAACAGCAGCAGCUGUCUCUUAAAGAUGGAUAAAGGACAUAUGUUCUAAGGUGUCUGAGGGACACCAGAGAUCUUUUCUGAGGGCCUCUUCUCCCCUAAGCAGCAAACAAGGUGGACACGGGUGCCGCCUACACACGUCUCAGAUCUCGGGCUGGAGGAGGAGUCAGGCAGGUGCCCAGCGUGGCCUGGAGAGGACUUCGGGCACGGGGACUCAGGGCCGGGGCUCCCGUGGCAUCUGGAACCCGGGGCCCUGGGCUGUACGAUUCCCACCCUGGUCCCCAGUGCUGCAGGCACUCAGGCUCCGCUGAUUUCAUCUGGAGCAGUGGUUCAUUACAGCCCCCGACUCACACAUUUGCUCAUUCACUUAACUUUACUAACAGGUAAGAACCUAGAGCUUCUGAGUACAAAAGCAUAUAUAUUUCUAAAUUGCCCAAUAAAAGCUUUAUUCAGUUGGAA
This is a long non-coding RNA of Bos taurus (domestic cattle), 2674 nucleotides long. The record is from Ensembl. NCBI's taxonomy places the organism in Eukaryota, Metazoa, Chordata, Mammalia, Artiodactyla, Bovidae.